AGACAAACAGAUCAGAGUACUAAAUGUGAAGAAUGAAGUAACCUUAAGCCUUUCAUGUGCUUCUGGUAAAGGAGGCACGAAAAACAAAAAAAAUUAGAAAAAUUAGCCCCAAGAUGAGAAGGCCUAGAGUUCUGAUACCUCAUACCCAGAGGCGGAUGAAGAAAAUGAAAGUCAAAUCGGAACCAAGGAAGAGACCUCGUUUGACAGCGAUGAAGAUCAGAGCAGCAGCGACCGCCAACAGGCGGAAAGGCACGAGCCGCGCGGCUGAGCUGAGGAGGCAGAGGAGCAGAAAAG
Molecule: long non-coding RNA, 294 nt
Filed under: Panax ginseng (ginseng)
Lineage: Eukaryota; Viridiplantae; Streptophyta; Magnoliopsida; Apiales; Araliaceae
Description: long non-coding RNA (PGIN_LNC011025)
Source: RNAcentral